RNAcentral lists this ribosomal RNA (1226 nucleotides) under Halimeda opuntia. RNAcentral describes it as "SSU rRNA". It matches the Rfam family "Eukaryotic small subunit ribosomal RNA", at positions 576 to 1831 of the family's 1831-position model. The record is from RNAcentral. Lineage: Eukaryota; Viridiplantae; Chlorophyta; Ulvophyceae; Bryopsidales; Halimedaceae.
GCGGUAAUUCAAGCUCCAAUAGCGUAUAUGUAAAUUGUUGCGGUUGAAAAGCUCGUAGUUGGACUUCUGGCGACUGCGUUCGGUCCGCCAAGCGCGUGCACUGUCCGCGGUCGUCGUCUCUGUCGACGUGGCGCGUCGGCCUUAGUUGGUCGGUGCGUCGUCUGUCGGCGAUGUUACUUUGAGGAAAUCAGAGUGCUCAAGGCAAGCGUUCGCUCGUGACUUCACUAGCAUGGAAUAACACAGAUGGGCUCUUUCUCGCACUGUUGGUCUGCGUCAAUUGAGCAACGAUCGAUAGAGACGGUCGGGGGCAUUCGUAUUGCGCAGUUAGAGGUGAAAUUCUCCGAUCUGCGCAAGACGUACUAAUGCGAAAGCAGUUGCCAAGGACGUCCUCUUAUGAUCAAGAGCGAAAGUCGGGGGAUCAAAGAUGAUUAGAUACCGUCGUAGUCCCGACCAUAAAUGAUGCCGACUGAGCUUCGGCGACUCGACCUCUGGUCGUACGUCGGCGCUCUUAGAGAAAUUAAAGUCUUUGGGCUCCGGGGGUAGUAUGGUCGCAAGUCUGAAACUUGAAGGAAUUGACGGAAGGGCACCACAAGGCGUGGAUGUUGCGGCUUAAUUUGACUCAACACGGGAAAGCUUACUAGGUUUGGACACCUUUGUGAUGGACAGAUUGAAGCUCUUACCCUACUGCGUGGAUGGUGGUGCAUGGUCGUUCUCAGCCCGUGGGUUGACCUGUCAGGUUUACUCCGGUAACGCGCGAGACCUCGGUCUGCUAAAUAGACGCGGCUGUUUCGGCACCCGCGCUCUUCUUAGAGAGAGACUCGACGAGAGUCGAGGGAAGUCGAGGCAAUAACAGAUCUGUGAUGCCCUUAGUUAUCCUAGGUCGCACGCGCCAUACAAUGUGGCGCACAACGAGUCUCCUUGGCCGACAGGAUCUGGGCAAUCUGGCAGAGCGCUACGUGACUGGGCUAGACUUUUGUAAUUUUUGGUCUUGAACGAGGAAUGCCUAGUAAUCGCAGGUCAGCAUCCUGCGAUGAUUCGGUCCCUGCCCUUUGUACACACCGCCCGUCGCUCCAUCCGUGGCAUGCGCCGGUGAAGAGGGGGAGGCAGCGUCGGCCGGGUAACACCGGAUCGUACGUGGAACCCCUCUGAACCUUCGCACGUAGAGGAAGGAGAAGUCGUAACAAGGUUUUCGUAGGUGAACCUGCGAAAGGAUCAUUAUCGGCACA